This 407-nucleotide ribosomal RNA is filed under the name uncultured bacterium. RNAcentral describes it as "partial 16S ribosomal RNA". It matches the Rfam family "Bacterial small subunit ribosomal RNA", at positions 28 to 525 of the family's 1533-position model. The record is from RNAcentral.
GACGAACGCUGGCGGCGUGCUUAACACAUGCAAGUCGAACGAAGUGGCGAACGGGUGAGUAACGCGUAAUCAACCUGCCCUUCAGAGGGGGACAACAGUUGGAAACGACUGCUAAUACCGCAUACUGAAGGAGGGGAUUGCGUCUGAUUAGCUAGUUGGAGGGGUAACGGCCCACCAAGGCGAUGAUCAGUAGCGGGUCGGAAGGGUUAAACUGCCACAUUGGGACUGGGACAGGGCCCAGACUCCUACGGGAGGCAGCAGUGGGAAGUCUUCCGCAAGGGACGAAAGUCUGAGGGAGCAACCCCGCGUGAGUGAUGACGGCCUUGGGUGUGUAAGGCUCUGUUAAUCGGGACGCGGUACCGGAAUAGAAGGCCACGGCUAACUACGUGCCAGCCGCCGCGGUAAUA